Ctenopharyngodon idella (grass carp) is the source of this 1362-nucleotide long non-coding RNA. RefSeq lists it as uncharacterized. The transcript is spliced from 2 exons. The record is from RefSeq and is a predicted model, not a curated record. Lineage: Eukaryota; Metazoa; Chordata; Actinopteri; Cypriniformes; Xenocyprididae.
AACCUGUUCAUCUUCACCCCCGCGAGCAACUCAUAACACUAGCGAGAAUAUAUGAGAUCUCAUCACAUGAGCGCUUCAGCACUCCUCCUACACGAGGGAGGGCUUCGAUCGUCCUCUGGUCUACGGGUUAAAGUUCGCUACAUGGAGCGGGUCGCCCCCUCAGGAGCUGCAGCGUUGACAUCACAUGACCAGUGUCAAGCAAGUGAGUUACUACUAGUAAACAUAAGCCAGUGACUCUAUAUUGUGUACAUGAAAAGUAUAAUUUAGAUGAUUUAUGUCACAAAUCUCUGUCGUGUACUGUAUUUAACCACAUAGGCUAAUUGAUUACAUAAAUGGCCCACAUUUAAACUAUUUCUUAACGUCUUUUAUACUACAUUAUACAUCCAUAAUACACAUAAUGGAUGUGUUUGUAUUGCAGCAUAAUACGAAAACACUGCCAUUGUAAAUGUGGCCAGUAUUAUUAUACAUAAGAAUACACUUUGAUGACCCAAUUUUUCAGAGAACAAAAUGAGGUGUGCAUGACAAAAAACACAUACAAGGAAGCAAUAUCCCCCUGAGAUAGAAUAGAUUUAUUAGCAAGAGGUAAUCAGGAAACAUACAGUUUAUUUUUCUUUCUUUUUCUUUUCUGUUCAUUUCUCUUUUUUUCUUUUUUUUCUUUUUUUUUUUUUUUUUGUAGAAAACUGGAAAUAUUUCCCGAGCCGUGGAAAUAAACUUAAGGGUUGAAAGAUAAUUCUCAUACCACUGGGUAUUGCUAACAGCAAAAUGUUUGUUUGUAUGUUUAUAUAUCAUUUAUAAGAGUAUGUGCACAUAGAUGUGUAUACAGUAUAUAUGUAUAUAUAUAUAUAUAUAUAUAUAUAUAUAUAUCCUUUUAAAGUUUCUGGCUGAUACAGUGUUGCAUGCCUGCCACAUGAGCGAUUAGUGUGUUUCCAGACUGUACAUCGUAAAAAUACAUACAAAUAUUCACAGAAUAAGCACUACAUUACUAUAUUCCUGCUAAGAGAAUGAUUAUAGACAGGAUUACAGUAUAUGCAAAACACUUUAAAGUCCUCUACCUCUAGAUCAUGGUUUCAAAAAUCACAAAUCAUAUAGCAUUGAGUGUGUAAGCAUAGGAUACAACGCUUUAAAGAGGUGUGCUUUAAACUAGUACAUGUUAAGAAAUACAUAGGGCUGCAUGUACAAAAUAUACAGAAUACUUUUCUGUGUGGCGAGUUGACAAUGUUUGUACAAAAAUGUUUUUACGGUCUGUUUUUUUUUUUUUUUUUUUUUUUUAGGUAAGGAUGCAGAACCCUACGUCUUUAUUCUAGGACUACAAAAAUACCCUUUGUAUGCUGCAAGCGGGAAGGUCAUUCACUUUUGAUCAUA